GACGAACGCUGGCGGCGUGCUUAACACAUGCAAGUCGAACGGACAGACAGAGAGCUUGCCCUCUUGAAGUUAGUGGCGAACGGGUGAGUAACGCGUAAUCAACCUGCCCUUCAGAGGGGGAUAACAACGGGAAACCGUUGCUAAUACCGCGUACGAUUCAUGAACGGCAUCGUUUAUGAAUGAAAGGUGGCCUCUAUGUAUAAGCUAUCGCUGAAGGAGGGGAUUGCGUCUGAUUAGCUAGUUGGAGGGGUAACGGCCCGCCAAGGCAAUGAUCAGUAGGCGGUCUGAGAGGAUGAACGGCCACAUUGGGACUGGGACACGGACCAAACUCCUACGGGAGGCAGCAGUGGGGAAUCUUCCGCAAUGGACGAAAGUCUGACGGAGCAACGCCGCGUGAGUGAUGAAGGUCUUCGGAUUGUAAAGCUCUGUUAAUCGGGACGAAAGAGUUCUGCGUGAAUAAUGCAGAAAAGUGACGGUACCGGAAUAGAAAGCCACGGCUAACUACGUGCCAGCCGCCGCCGUAA
RNAcentral lists this ribosomal RNA (524 nucleotides) under uncultured bacterium. Its description in RNAcentral is "partial 16S ribosomal RNA". It matches the Rfam family "Bacterial small subunit ribosomal RNA", at positions 28 to 523 of the family's 1533-position model. The record is from RNAcentral.